RNAcentral lists this ribosomal RNA (501 nucleotides) under uncultured bacterium. RNAcentral's name for it is "partial 16S ribosomal RNA". It matches the Rfam family "Bacterial small subunit ribosomal RNA", at positions 30 to 523 of the family's 1533-position model. The record is from RNAcentral.
AUUGAACGCCGGCGGCAGGCUUAACACAUGCAAGUCGAGCGGGGGAAGGUAGCUUGCUACUGGACCUAGCGGCGGACGGGUGAGUAAUGCUUAGGAAUCUGCCUAUUAGUGGGGGACAACAUCUCGAAAGGGAUGCUAAUACCGCAUACGUCCUACGGGAGAAAGCAGGGGAUCUUCGGACCUUGCGCUAAUAGAUGAGCCUAAGUCGGAUUAGCUAGUUGGUGGGGUAAAGGCCUACCAAGGCGACGAUCUGUAGCGGGUCUGAGAGGAUGAUCCGCCACACUGGGACUGAGACGCGGCCCAGACUCCUACGGGAGGCAGCAGUGGGGAAUAUUGGACAAUGGGGGGAACCCUGAUCCAGCCAUGCCGCGUGUGUGAAGAAGGCCUUAUGGUUGUAAAGCACUUUAAGCGAGGAGGAGGCUACUCUAGUUAAUACUUAGGGAUAGUGGACGUUACUCGCAGAAUAAGCACCGGCUAACUCUGUGCCAGCCGCCGCCGUAA